GAAACCCUAAGGUUUCCUCCGCAAGGCUCGUCCACGGAGGGUGAGUCAGGACCUAAGGCAAGGCUGAAAAGCGUAGUUGAUGGACAACAGGUUAAUAUUCCUGUACUGAUUAUUACUGGUAUCGAGGGACGAAGAAGGCUAGACUAGCCAGAUAUUGGUUACUGGUUUAAGUAUACAAGGUGUUGAAGAUUAGAGAAAAUAAUCUGAGCUAAGGUACGAAUACAAGAUUAAAGAAUCAAAGUAGUUGAUGUCAUACUUCCAAGAAAAGCUCGCAAUGCCUUAAGUAAUAAUCACCUGUACCUGAAACCGACACAGGUAGGUAGGUAGAGUAUACCAAGGAGCGCGGGAGAACCCUCCUUAAGGAACUCGGCAAAAUAACUCUGUAACUUCGGGAGAAAGAGUGCCCUAUGGGCUGCAAUAUCAAGUUCCAAGCAACUGUUUAGCAAAAACACAGGUCUCCGCUAAGUUGUAAAACGAUGUAUGGGGGCUGACGCCUGCCCAGUGCCGGAAGGUUAAAGAAGUCGGUUAGCGUAUGCGAAGCUGGUAACUGAAGCCCCGGUGAACGGCGGCCGUAACUAUAACGGUCCUAAGGUAGCG
RNAcentral lists this ribosomal RNA (597 nucleotides) under Candidatus Thalassarchaeaceae archaeon. Its description in RNAcentral is "partial 23S ribosomal RNA". It matches the Rfam family "Bacterial large subunit ribosomal RNA", at positions 1339 to 1961 of the family's 2925-position model. Lineage: Archaea; Methanobacteriati; Thermoplasmatota; Candidatus Poseidoniia; Candidatus Poseidoniales; Candidatus Thalassarchaeaceae. The record is from RNAcentral.